Molecule: ribosomal RNA, 414 nt
Filed under: uncultured microorganism
Description: bacterial SSU rRNA
Rfam family: Archaeal small subunit ribosomal RNA
Source: RNAcentral
CAGCCGCCGCGGUAAUACCGGCGGCCCGAGUGGCGGUCACUAUUAUUUGGCUUAAAGCGUCCGUAGCCGGGUUGGGAAGUCCUCCGGGAAAUCUGGCCGCUUAACGGUCAGAAUGCCGGAGGAUACUCCCAGCCUAGGGAGCGGGAGAGGCCGAGGGUAUUCCCGGAGUAGGGGGGAAAUCCUAUAAUCCCGGGAGGACCACCUGUGGCGAAGGCGCUCGGCUGGAACGCGUCCGACGGGGAGGGACGAAGGCCAGGGGAGCAAACCGGAUUAGAUACCCGGGUAGUCCUGGCUGUAAACGAUGCGGACUUUGUGUCGGACAAGCUAUGAGCUUGUCCGGUGCCGGAGGGAAACCGUUAAGUCCGCCGCCUGGGGAGUACGGCCGCAAGGCUGAAACUUAAAGGAAUUGGCGGG